UUCUAUAUGAACAAGAUAAUGAUACUGAUGUAUCCUUCUAUGAACAAGGUGGUGAUACUGAUGUAUCCUUCUAUGAACAAGGUGGUGAUACUGAUGUAUCCUUCUAUGAACAAGAUAAUGAUACUGAUGUAUCCUUCUAUGAACAAGGUGGUGAUACUGAUGUAUCCUUCUAUGAACAAGGUGGUGAUACUGAUGUAUCCUUCUAUGAACAAGGUGGUGAUACUGAUGUAUCCUUCUAUAUGAACAAGAUAAUGAUACUGAUGUAUCCUUCUAUGAACAAGGUGGUGAUACUGAUGUAUCCUUCUAUGAACAAGAUAAUGAUACUGAUGUAUCCUUCUAUGAACAAGGUGGUGAUACUGAUGUAUCCUUCUAUGAACAAGGUGGUGAUACUGAUGUAUCCUUCUAUGAACAAGGUGGUGAUACUGAUGUAUCCUUCUAUGAACAAGGUGGUGAUACUGAUGUAUCCUUCUAUGAACAAGAUGGUGAUACUGAGGUAUCCUUCUAUGAACAAGGUGGUGAUACUGAUGUAUCCUUCUAUAUGAACAAGGUGGUGAUACUGAUGUAUCCUUCUAUGAACAAGAUGGUAAUACUGAUGUAUCCUUCUAUGAACAAGGUGGUGAUACU
Molecule: long non-coding RNA, 624 nt
Organism: Mytilus californianus (California mussel)
Lineage: Eukaryota; Metazoa; Mollusca; Bivalvia; Mytilida; Mytilidae
Exons: 4
Source: RefSeq, a predicted model, not a curated record